AAAAAAGAAAAUAAAAAAGAUAUUUUAAAGCAUUGGAUCUAGCAUUUUUUGCAUUGUUUAUUGUGGAACAGACUAAUACACAUCAAUUAUGGAUAUACAGUUACAGGAAAGGAAAGAGAAGGAGAGGAGAGAGAAAGAUUAAUAAGCAUUUAUGUUGCUUUGUAUCUUUAUAUAUGUUUUAUAAAUUUGGGAGAGAAAGUUCAUGAGACUUUUGCAAAGUAACUGUAAUAUAGAAAAAAAAGUCUUGAAAAUAUUUAUAUAAUCCAUUAACUUCUCUAGGUACUUGCAUCCUUGAAGUAAGCUGAGCUACCAGAAAGUGAUAUAUUUGGUACACAUUAGCAUAUCCCUAAGAGAGUAAUGUUUACCUUCAGCUUUUAUCAAAUGUCAUCAUAUAAUCAGGCCAUAUGAAAUUUAGUGUUUUAUAGGUUAUAAAAAUGUAGUUGAGGUCAGUGUUUAUUACAUCCAUUCACUGCCCUCAAGGAGUUACACAAUGGCUUAAAGCCAAAUUCUCACACCAGCUUUGGCAACAAGGGUUGAGCCUUAUACUGUGUAUAAUUAUGCUCUUCUUUUUAUCUGAUCCUGAUUUUUUAUUUUGUUUUGGUUUGCUGUGUUACAAACUGCCUCAAAUCUUCAAGGAAAAAAAAUCAAAUAGAUUUUGUCAAAUGCACAUUGGACAGAAGAGAAUUCCGGAUUUCAAAGUUAAAUUUUCUAAAAUAUGAUCAAGCUGAGGAAUGAUUAAACCACCUGUCCUAUGAGUCUCUAGGCUAUGGAGAGGGACCAAAAAAUUCAAGAAAAAGCUAUAAAAUGGAGAUGCUGACAGUAUCAAUACCCUAGGAUUUCUGCAAGAGGUUAAAAAGUUAAGGAGCACCUGGGUGGCUCAGUUGGUUGGCUUUAAGAACUUCAAAAGCUGCAAGACGCGUAAAGUUUAUCUGGAUUAUCUCGUCAUUUGGAGCAUUCAAGUGUCUGCUUCAAUAUGCCUUAGAAUCACGAUUGCCAAAUGAGAGCGAUACUUUGUGCUUCUCACAUAGCUUCUUCCCAAGCAUCCCAAAGCACUGGAGAAGUGUUACUUUUGCCUCCCUUCACUUCUCUGAAGAAACUCAGGAUAAAAUCCUGGACAAUUUGACUCACAAAAAUUAUCAGUUAAUCCAAAGAUAAACUGUCAAGGGCCUGCUUCCUCAAAUAGACAUGUUCUUCUUCCUCAUUCAUUCUUCCAGAAGACAUGAAUUCCACAGACUCCAAGAGGAAUAUGGAAAUUAAUAAAAACUCACUCUAAAUAAAGAGCAUAUAGAUGCAAAGAAGAACUUACUUAUAUCUUAAAAAAUUCCAGACUUCUUGGCCUCCUAUGGAAUAUAGCAUACUUUUUUUUCAUAUCUUUGUUGGCCUUUCAACUUUUAAAAGUAAACGAUAGUCCCUUCCUAUUUAAAUUCAUAACAGGAAUGCAACCACAAAUAAAUGAUUUCCUUAAAUAUAUGUCUGUAGCUAUGCUAUGUGACACUAAUUUAUAUCAGCUUUAGAGAUUACUGGGUGGAAGCCAUUCUUUUUAGCCCCCAUCGUCUACUUACCAACAUGAGGCAUCCACAUGGUAUACAUUCCACCCAAGAUUAUUUUGUAAUCAGUGAUAGUGACGAAGGGAAAGACUUCGGUCUCCUUACCCUCACCCUAUACUGUUACAUAACCCAGACUAUUUUUUGUUCAUUACUUUCAUUCCCAAAUUAUGAUUUGGUCACACAAGUUUCCUGUACAUACAUUUACUUUAUGUAAAAAUUUUGGAUAUUUUGAAAGACUGAAUCAUCUUCAUUUAUCGUCAAUACCUUAAAGCCAUUUUUUGUUUCUUGCUGCAAUAUAUCUUUUUGUAGUCGAUCUUCGCUUCUUUGAAAAAAUUUCCUUAGAUGUUUGCUUAUUUAUAUGCAUAAUUUUAAAAGCCUGGAAGAUCUAAAAAGCCAAGCAUUACUAGCUGAUAUCUAGAUAUGUUUAAGAGACCUACUCACUCAUUUAGCAAGAUAAAUUACAAUGAAUUUUUAUAUAUAUGAACGAAUAUAUGUUAUAUCUUAAAAACAUGGAUUUAUUUUCCUCCCUCAAAUGUGGAACUUUUUGGUUUUAUUUUUAUCCCACACAUUUAACUUUGAAAUAAGUAGAUUGCCACAUACCAUAGUAAUUGUGGAUGGACAGGGGUCACCAGGAAACAAUAAAACUGUCAACACAAAGUAAUGACAACUGAGCACAGGGUAGCAAAUAGGACAUGAGUGUUUUAUGAGGAAAGGUCAGGAGGUUCAAGUCACAGGGAAGAAAGAUGAUUUCGCCAUCCAAACUGAACACACUUUACAAGUUAAUUAGGCUGCUAGAACUUGUUCCAGAUGGUGGAGAAAUCAAGUGUGAGACAGAUAGAUACCAGCAAGACAAGUCAGGGUGAAACACAAAGUAAAGUCUGAUCUUGGGGAGAUCCGGGAGCAAGCAGGACAUUGGGGAGAGGAAGCAACAGAGACACAGGACAUGGAGCCAUGGGAGACAAGGCCAACAUGAGGGCUGAGGUCUGGGCUGAGAGGCCGCACAGAGGACCAGGACACGGAAGGAGCACAGUGCUCUCAAGACAGCCUGCCGGCCACAGCCACCGCUCACACAAUUAACUCUUCAUCACUAGCUCUUUGUGGCUGGCCAGUACAGAUGUAGACAAGGACUAACCUUCAGAACCGGAUGUGAUGCUAUGCCUGGGGAUUUCCCAGUUAAGUUAAGAGACAUUGAUUCAAAAAAUGACAUGCCUGGACACUCUAUGUGUCUCAAUCUGCUGACUCUGAA
Canis lupus familiaris (dog) is the source of this 2793-nucleotide long non-coding RNA. RefSeq lists it as uncharacterized. The record is from RefSeq and is a predicted model, not a curated record. The transcript has 3 exons. NCBI's taxonomy places the organism in Eukaryota, Metazoa, Chordata, Mammalia, Carnivora, Canidae.